UGGGGAAUAUUGGACAAUGGGCGGAAGCCUGAUCCAGCAACGCCGCGUGAGGGAUGACGGCCUUCGGGUUGUAAACCUCUUUCAGUACCGACGAAGCGCCGGUUGAUGGUGGUGACGGUAGGUACAGAAGAAGCACCGGCCAACUACGUGCCAGCAGCCGCGGUAAUACGUAGGGUGCGAGCGUUGUCCGGAAUUAUUGGGCGUAAAGGGCUCGUAGGCGGUUUGUCGCGUCGGGAGUGAAAUCCACGAGCUUAACUGGUGGCUUGCUUUCGAUACGGGCAGACUAGAGGCAUGCAGGGGAGAACGGAAUUCCUGGUGUAGCGGUGAAAUGCGCAGAUAUCAGGAGGAACACCGGUGGCGAAGGCGGUUCUCUGGGCAUGUCCUGACGCUGAGGAGCGAAAGUGUGGGGAGCGAACAGGAUUAGAUACCCUGGUAGUCCACACCGUAAACGUUGGGCGCUAGGUGUGGGAUCCAUUCCACGGGUUCCGUGCCGCAGCUAACGCAUUAAGCGCCCCGCCUGGGGAGUACGGCCGCAAGGCUAA
This 542-nucleotide ribosomal RNA is filed under the name uncultured Nocardioides sp. RNAcentral's name for it is "bacterial SSU rRNA". It matches the Rfam family "Bacterial small subunit ribosomal RNA", at positions 355 to 897 of the family's 1533-position model. Lineage: Bacteria; Bacillati; Actinomycetota; Actinomycetes; Propionibacteriales; Nocardioidaceae. The record is from RNAcentral.